RNAcentral lists this long non-coding RNA (683 nucleotides) under Rhinopithecus bieti (black snub-nosed monkey). RNAcentral's name for it is "lncRNA (ENSRBIG00000045438.1)". Lineage: Eukaryota; Metazoa; Chordata; Mammalia; Primates; Cercopithecidae. The record is from RNAcentral.
AAAAAUAUGACUCAUUUUCCUGCUCCUCCUGUUGUCUAUUAUAUUUCAGUGGAAUUCCAGAAUCCCACAUGUUUGCCUCUGCCUCUGCCUGAGAGCUCCAGCUACUGCCUGGGUUAUGUAAACUAGAGACAUAUGGCUGAGAUGGUAAUUCUUACAUAGUUCUUUUUCUCCUGGUUUUGGGAACUCUUUUCUUCAUUGUCUCAAAUCAAGAGAAUUAGGAGGAAGAAUGGGGUCGUGAGAUGUUCCUCCACAAGACAGGAACAAUGCCUGGGGGAGGAAAGUGGCUCAGUUGGAACUUGCAAACAGAGAGGCGGAGAAUUCUGCAGAUGCUGUGGCAGUUCGAACUCCUGGAGAGCCCUUCCUGGCCCAACCUAGCUGGGACGUAGACACUGUGGGAAGCAGAAGAGGAUCAGCCAAUGGCAGAGAACCUGGACAAAGAAAAGGAUGCCAACCAACUGAGGAUAGAGACGUUUCCCUUGGCUCCUCCCGGCAAAGGAUUUUUCAGGUUUCCUGGUGAGGAGGGAGUGGAAGUUAUGACAUAAUCACACUCUAUAUUCUUUGUAGUUUGUUGUAGGCAUGGUAAUGAUUAAGUCAUCCUUUCGGUGAACUGUAUAUACUGGAUUCUUUUCUUGAGAUGGAGUCUCACUCUAUCACCCAGGCUGGAGUGCAGUGGUGCGGUCAGG